GUUGGAACUGUGGAUUUUACUAAAUCCCAGUUUAAAACUCAUUGUAUGCUAGCAAGUCCUGUCCAAAAUGAAUCUAGCCACAUUCCUGUUCUUUGUCAUUGCUGAUGAUAUUGAUAGGUACAAUUUGAUAUUGAUACUGGUAUUAUGUUCAUAAACUUGGAACCAUACAAGGAGUUCUUUAAAUCCGAAUGAGCUGUUGACACUGUAAUUGAG
Molecule: unclassified non-coding RNA, 213 nt
Filed under: Hevea brasiliensis (rubber tree)
Lineage: Eukaryota; Viridiplantae; Streptophyta; Magnoliopsida; Malpighiales; Euphorbiaceae
Source: RNAcentral